CCUACGGGAGGCAGCAGUGGGGAAUUUUCCGCAAUGGGCGAAAGCCUGACGGAGCAAUACCGCGUGAGGGAAGAAUGCCUACGGGUUGUAAACCUCUUUUAUCAGGGAGGAACAAAAUGACGUGUACCUGAUGAAUAAGCAUCGGCUAACUCUGUGCCAGCAGCCGCGGUAAGACAGAGGAUGCAAGUGUUAUCCGGAAUUACUGGGCGUAAAGCGUCUGUAGGUUGUUGAACAAGUCAACUGUUAAAUCUUGAAGCUCAACUUCAAAAUCGCAGUCGAAACUGUUUGACUAGAGUAUAGUAGAGGUAAAGGGAAUUUCCAGUGGAGCGGUGAAAUGCGUAGAUAUUGGAAAGAACACCGAUGGCGAAAGCACUUUACUGGGCUAUUACUGACACUCAGAGACGACAGCUAGGGUAGCAAAUGGGAUUAGAUACCCCAGUAGUCCUAGCCGUAAACUAUGGAUACUAGAUGUUGAACAGAUCGACCUGUGCAGUAUUAAAGCUAACGCGUUAAGUAUCCCGCCUGGAAGUAUGCUCGCAGAGUGAAACUCAAAGGAAUUGACGG
Molecule: ribosomal RNA, 564 nt
Filed under: uncultured bacterium
Lineage: Bacteria
Description: bacterial SSU rRNA
Rfam family: Bacterial small subunit ribosomal RNA
Source: RNAcentral